RNAcentral lists this transfer RNA (83 nucleotides) under Phorcysia thermohydrogeniphila. Its description in RNAcentral is "tRNA-Leu". It matches the Rfam family "tRNA". Rfam says of the family: Transfer RNA (tRNA) molecules are approximately 80 nucleotides in length. Their secondary structure includes four short double-helical elements and three loops (D, anti-codon, and T loops). The record is from RNAcentral. Lineage: Bacteria; Pseudomonadati; Aquificota; Aquificia; Desulfurobacteriales; Desulfurobacteriaceae.
GCGGGAGUGGCGGAACUGGCAGACGCGCUGGACUUAGGAUCCAGUGCCCUCUGGGCGUGUGGGUUCGACUCCCACCUCCCGCA